AUGCCUCGGAAAGGUAGGAGAUCCCGGGCUCAAAAAGUUCGUUGGACAAAGUUAGACCUAACAGGACAGAUGAGCGUCAGUAAAGGUGUUGCUCAGGUUUCUGAUGGACAGCAGUACGAAGAUGGCGACAACACAUCUAGAAUUCUAUCCGUGCAGGCGUCUCAUUGCCAGAGUGAUGCAAGGUAUGAUGUUUUCUCACGAAAUCAUCAGUGCACGUGUGUAGCUCUGACAUUCCUUGCGUACCACAGUGAGGGAACUUUGUUCGAACAGCCUGAUCUUGACAGGGUGCUAGAGGAAGGGGAUGCUUUGUAUGUCGGCAUUAAAAUGCAGCUUAUUGCUGAAGGAAGAUUCCAACAGGAUCUUUUAAGCAUGGCUGAAGUACCUGUGAGCAUCACAACUUCUAACCACACCUACAGCGUCCAAAAGUCAGAAGUGGUGAUGGGAUAUCUGAGAGACAGAGGAACUCAGGAAAUGGACGCGUGGUGGAUUCCUCUUGAUGAAAGACUUCAGUGUCUUUCAACAGAUGUCAGCCAUGCACUGCUUAUUGUUUCUCCAGAAUGCUUUGCUGUGUUCAGAGAUGGAUCUGGAAGAUAUGGAUUUUUUGAUUCCCAUUCCAGAACUGCUGAAGGUUUGCAACAUCCUACUGGUGAAGGAACCGCAGUUAUGCUAACUUUCACCAACCUGCAUGACAUGACCAACAGAUUACUUGAGCUUUUUUGGAAUCGUGGUCCUCAAGCUUGCUAUGAAUUCAUGGCUGUUUCAUUUGAAAUGGAGCAACAGUAUGAGGAACCAUGCUCAUCAUCAGCAUGUGUGACACCAUCACAAGUAACUUCAACUCUGCCAAAAACACAAACAAAUGCUGACGUCAGAAUCCCUGAAAAUCUUGUUCUUACAGAUGACAGAAACCAAAGUGUCAUAAAAGUUUUAAAAACAAACAAGCAGCGAAGAAGAAAACAAGUGCGUAAAAUUGCAAAUGAAAAGCAAAAAGCAAGACUUAAGAAAACCGCUCCACAUUUUGAAGUCCGGGAUCAAAAAAGACGAGAAUAUGAGAGAGAGAAAUAUGCCACCAAUUUGUAUUUUCGGAAGAAGAAAAUGGAGGUCACCAAAAAGAAGUAUGCUCAAGAUUCUUUUGCCAGAUUCAAAAAGGUAGAGUACAUGACCAAGAGGUACAACACUGAUGUUCUCUUCCAGAAAAAGAGGAAAGAGUACAUAAUCAAGAGGUACCACACUGAUGCUCUUUUCCAGAGGAAAAUGAAGAACUACAUGGACAGGAGGUACAAGACAGAUGCUCUUUUCCAGAAGAAAAAGAAGGACUACAUGGUCAGGAGGUAUCGCAUGGAUGCUUUUUUCCAGAAGAAAAUGAAGGACUACAUGGUCAGGAGGUACCACACUGAUGCUCUUUUCCAGAACAAAAUGAAGGACUACAUGGCCAGAAGAUAUGCAAGUGAUUCAGAGUUUAGGUCACAUCAUAUUCUACGUUGUACUCUCCAGAAGAAACAGAAGUGUCUCACUGAUGCAGGAUUCCACAUUCUUCACAAGUUGAGGUGUGCAUUAAGGAUCAAGAGAAAAUACAAGCCAUACAUUCGUUUCAGCCAGGAUACACCUAAUUCUGAUGUGACAAACCAGCCUGUGUCCAACAGCAUAAUGCAAAAGGCCAUAUCUGCAUUUCGGUGUCAAAUUCUGCAUGGUCCCACUUACAUCUGCACAGUCUGUCACAGGACCCUUUUUCCAAACCAAGUCAAGAUGUGUAAAAGAACACGAUAUGUCAAAAAUGUUCAUAUUACAGCCUCUUGCUUAACCGGGAAAUAUGUUCAUGCUUGUGACGGUGCCUGCUCAGUUUCUUGUGCAGUUCCAGAAGAGCGAAGACAGGAGUGGAUCUGCCACACCUGUGACAAUCAUCUGAAGAGAGGAUCCAUGCCUUCUAUUGCAGCGGCAAACAGACUUGAAUUGCCUCCCAUCCCUACAGAACUGCUUGAACUGAAUGUUCUUGAACGACAGCUUAUUGCCAAAAUCGUUCCUUUUGCAAAAAUAGUUGCAUUGCCCAAAGGACAGCAAAGAUCAGUGUAUGGUGCUGUUGUGUGUGUGCCCUCUGAGGUGGAGAAAACAGUCAACUGUCUGCCAAGGCCUAACAGUGAGUCCCAGCUACUACAGGUGAAGCUGAAAAGACACAUCAAGUUCAGAGGAUACCAACACUUCCAUACAGUAAAUAUGCACAAUGUGCUAGCAGCGUUAGCAAAACUGAAAGCAAUGCAUUCAGAAUACAGGGACAUCUUGAUUAGUGACGCUGCCACAUUUGAAUUU
Long non-coding RNA from Cyprinus carpio (common carp), 2301 nucleotides. Lineage: Eukaryota; Metazoa; Chordata; Actinopteri; Cypriniformes; Cyprinidae. The record is from Ensembl.